RNAcentral lists this ribosomal RNA (253 nucleotides) under uncultured bacterium. Its description in RNAcentral is "partial 16S ribosomal RNA". It matches the Rfam family "Bacterial small subunit ribosomal RNA", at positions 524 to 776 of the family's 1533-position model. The record is from RNAcentral.
UACGUAGGGUGCGAGCGUUGUCCGGAAUUAUUGGGCGUAAAGAGCUUGUAGGCGGUUUGUCGCGUCUGCCGUGAAAUUUCGAGGCUCAACCUCGAACUUGCGGUGGGUACGGGCAGACUAGAGUGUGGUAGGGGAGACUGGAAUUCCUGGUGUAGCGGUGAAAUGCGCAGAUAUCAGGAAGAACACCCGUGGCGAAGGCGGCUCUCUGGAACGCAACUGACGCUGAGACGCGAAAGCGUGGGGAGCAAACAGG